Molecule: transfer RNA, 66 nt
Filed under: Hoplopleura edentula
Lineage: Eukaryota; Metazoa; Arthropoda; Insecta; Psocodea; Hoplopleuridae
Description: tRNA-Met
Source: RNAcentral
AGAUAAGUAGGUUAUAAACUAAACCCUUAGACCCAUACUCUAAUUAAGUGCUCUGCACCUUAUCUG